RNAcentral lists this long non-coding RNA (668 nucleotides) under Ananas comosus (pineapple). RNAcentral describes it as "long non-coding RNA (ACOM_LNC009105)". Lineage: Eukaryota; Viridiplantae; Streptophyta; Magnoliopsida; Poales; Bromeliaceae. The record is from RNAcentral.
CUCUACACUAAACCAGCUCAUGUUUCUUGUUUUUUGUUUGCCUGAAUCAAACCGGUACCCUCUUUCUUUGCUUGAACCAGUCUGCUUUACUAGACCAAACCAGACCAAUUGAUUCAUAUCAUUCAUUAUUCGGCCAACUUGCAUUACAUGUUAAAUAAUUAUAAUAAUUCGAAAAAAGAACUUCAAUUAUCAAUCAUAUAUAUAUAUUAUUUUAUUUAUUUAUUUAUACAUUAUUUUUUCUAAAGUUGCCACAUGGCAACUUUUUCUUCAUUUUUGAGUGUGUGCUCCAUCCAAACCAGCUAAAGUCCUUCCUCUUCCUUUUCCUUCGGCUGUUAUUUUCGUUCUACGGCAAAAUGAAUUCCACCCCUCAUUAUCGCUUUUUUUAGCGCUGUUUCUUUUCUUUUUUUUUUUAUCGAUGUUUUCUAUAUAUUUUCUAAUUAUCUAUCCGUCGCAUCGUACGGGUUACUACGCUAGUAUAUAUAUAUAUAUAUAGUAGAGCUAGAAUAUUUUCAAAAGCACUAUGAAAGUGGUGCUUUUGAGUUUUGAGCCAUUGGAUGGAGAGAUGUGAGGUUGAGAUGAUAGUGGUAGGUGGUGGUAGGUGGAAUAGUGUUUGAUCCAAGAGCUAUUAGUAAUCAAGGAGUGAUACUUGUAAAAGUAUUCUAGCUCAA